This 451-nucleotide ribosomal RNA is filed under the name uncultured bacterium. RNAcentral's name for it is "partial 16S ribosomal RNA". It matches the Rfam family "Bacterial small subunit ribosomal RNA", at positions 29 to 523 of the family's 1533-position model. The record is from RNAcentral.
AGCGAACGCUGGCGGCAGGCUUAACACAUGCAAGUCGAGCGGGCAUAGCAAUAUGUCAGCGGCAGACGGGUGAGUAACGCGUGGGAACGCACCUUUUGGUUCGGAACAACACAGGGAAACUUGUGCUAAUACCGGAUAAGCCCUUACGGGGAAAGAUUUAUCGCCGAAAGAUCGGCCCGCGUCGGAUUGGCUAGUUGGUGAGGUAAUGGCUCACCAAGGCGACGAUCAGUAGCUGGGCUGAGAGGAUGAGCAGCCACAUUGGGACUGAGACACGGCCCAAACUCGUACGGGAGGCAGAAGUGGGGAAUAUUGGACAAUGGGCGCAAGCCUGAUCCAGCCAUGCCGCGUGAGUGAUGAAGGCCCUAGGGUUGUAAAGCUCUUUUGUGCGGGAAGAUAAUGACGGUACCGCAAGAAUAAGCCCCGGCUAACUUCGUGCCAGCAGCCGCGGUAA